GAUGGUUAUAUAGAGUCUGGCCUGCCCACUGACUUCGGUUGAAGGGCCGCGGUAUUUUGACCGUGCGAAGGUAGCAUAAUCAUUAGUCUUUUAAUUGGAGGCUUGUAUGAAUGGUUGAACAAAAAAUAAGCUGUCUCGAUUAUAAAAAUUGAAUUUAACUUUUAAGUGAAAAGGCUUAAAUGAUAUAGGGUGACGAUAAGACCCUAUAAAACUUUACAAUUAUUUAAUUGAAUGAUGAAUUGUUAGUAUAAAUUUGAUUCAAUUAAUGUUUGUUUCGUUGGGGCGACGAAAAUAUAAUUUUAUAACUGUUUUAUAAUUUUGUAACAAUGAUUUUUGGUGAAGAUGAUCCUUUAUUAGAGAUUAAAAGAUUAAGUUACUUUAGGGAUAACAGCGUAAUCUUCUUUGAAAGUUCAUAUCGACAAGAAGGGUUGCGACCUCGAUGUUGAAUUAAGGUUUCUUUGUGGUGCAGUAGUUACAGUGAGAAGGUCUGUUCGACCUUUA
RNAcentral lists this ribosomal RNA (501 nucleotides) under Parapenaeopsis tenella. RNAcentral's name for it is "partial 16S ribosomal RNA". It matches the Rfam family "Bacterial large subunit ribosomal RNA", at positions 1836 to 2590 of the family's 2925-position model. RNAcentral also lists the same sequence under 1 other name. The record is from RNAcentral. Lineage: Eukaryota; Metazoa; Arthropoda; Malacostraca; Decapoda; Penaeidae.